This 481-nucleotide ribosomal RNA is filed under the name uncultured bacterium. RNAcentral's name for it is "partial 16S ribosomal RNA". It matches the Rfam family "Bacterial small subunit ribosomal RNA", at positions 29 to 507 of the family's 1533-position model. The record is from RNAcentral.
AUGCACGCUGGCGGCGUGCCUCAUCCAUGCCAGUCGCACGCUUCACUUCGGUGAAGAGUGGCGAACGGGUGAGUAAUACAUAAGUAACCUGGCAUCUACAGGGGGAUAACUGAUGGAAACGUCAGCUAAGACCGCAUAGGUGUAGAGAUCGCAUGAACUCUAUAUGAAAAGUGCUACGGGACUGGUAGAUGAUGGACUUAUGGCGCAUUAGCUUGUUGGUAGGGUAACGGCCUACCAAGGCGACGAUGCGUAGCCGACCUGAGAGGGUGACCGGCCACACUGGGACUGAGACACGGCCCAGACUCCUACGGGAGGCAGCAGUAGGGAAUUUUCGGCAAUGGGGGGAACCCUGACCGAGCAACGCCGCGUGAAGGAAGAAGUAAUUCGGUAUGUAAACUUCUGUCAUAGAGGAAGAACGGUGGAUAUAGGGAAUGAUAUCCAAGUGACGGUACUCUAUAAGAAAGCCACGGCUAACUACGUG